Molecule: signal recognition particle RNA, 262 nt
Filed under: Dehalococcoidia bacterium
Lineage: Bacteria; Bacillati; Chloroflexota; Dehalococcoidia
Description: signal recognition particle sRNA large type
Rfam family: Bacterial large signal recognition particle RNA
About the family: The signal recognition particle (SRP) is a universally conserved ribonucleoprotein involved in the co-translational targeting of proteins to membranes. Archaeal SRP consists of a 7S RNA and homologues of the eukaryotic SRP19 and SRP54 proteins.
Source: RNAcentral
CCGUGCUAGGCGGGGAGCUGGCGGUGCCCUGAACCCGCAAUCCGCCAUAGCGGGGCCGAACUCCCGCCCGAGGCCGGGGCUGGGGUGUCUGCCCUCAGGUGAGGGCGAUGAUGGCUAGGCCCUGUGCGACGGGGCCCUAUGAACCCCGUCAGGCCCGGAAGGGAGCAGCGGUAAGUGGGCGCCCCGGGUGCCAUAGGUCACCCUGGCCGGAGCCCGAUCCUGUGGGCAAGGCCGUGGCGCCGUGUCGAAGGCGGGUGCACGG